Molecule: long non-coding RNA, 619 nt
Organism: Canis lupus familiaris (dog)
Lineage: Eukaryota; Metazoa; Chordata; Mammalia; Carnivora; Canidae
Exons: 3
Source: RefSeq, a predicted model, not a curated record
CAGAAGGGGACGUCCUUGAUGUGAAUUUCACCAAGACCUGUUCCCCCGCCGAAGCCAACGGCCUCCGCAGCUCAGGAAAACCGCAGGACGCCAAAGAGGACCAGCCGCCGACAGGAAAAACAAGAAGAAAGGAAAGAAGGAAACUAUUUUUCCACCUCAAGCAGCUCCAGCUCUGCCCACCACAGGGCUGGGCUGGUGGGCAGGUGGCGAACCUGUGGAGUCACACACGCCCUCCUACCCGGCUCAGAUCAGAAGUAACUCUCAUCUCAAGGGACUACGUUCCUGAUCACUAUCAGCCUGCCACCUGUUUCUUUCAAGUGGCUCAGACUUAGCAGGCAGGAAUUGCUACUUACUGAACCCCUAAAACCUGCACCAUCUGUGGGGACCCUCCAACCUCACCCCUUCAGCUCUGACUUAACUUCCCACUGCUCAUCACUUGUUCUUUCAGCCACACGGUUCCUCCUAAUCCUGAAAAAUGUCAAGCUUAUCCCCCAUCUCAGUGUUUUGGUCUUUUCUUUUUCCCAGUGCUUCCCAGAGUGGGUUCCUCAUCACCUCUCAGGUCUCCAAACUUGAGUGGCUGGCCCCGCCCACUCUAACAGACACAAGCAUGCCCAUCAUG